Molecule: transfer RNA, 77 nt
Filed under: Hyphomicrobiales bacterium
Lineage: Bacteria; Pseudomonadati; Pseudomonadota; Alphaproteobacteria; Hyphomicrobiales
Description: tRNA-Arg
Rfam family: tRNA
About the family: Transfer RNA (tRNA) molecules are approximately 80 nucleotides in length. Their secondary structure includes four short double-helical elements and three loops (D, anti-codon, and T loops). Further hydrogen bonds mediate the characteristic L-shaped molecular structure. tRNAs have two regions of fundamental functional importance: the anti-codon, which is responsible for specific mRNA codon recognition, and the 3' end, to which the tRNAs corresponding amino acid is attached (by aminoacyl-tRNA synthetases). tRNAs cope with the degeneracy of the genetic code in two manners: having more than one tRNA (with a specific anti-codon) for a particular amino acid; and 'wobble' base-pairing, i.e. permitting non-standard base-pairing at the 3rd anti-codon position.
Source: RNAcentral
GGACCCAUAGCUCAGCUGGAUAGAGCGCUGCCCUCCGAAGGCAGAGGUCACAGGUUCGAAUCCUGUUGGGUCCGCCA